This 254-nucleotide ribosomal RNA is filed under the name uncultured bacterium. RNAcentral's name for it is "partial 16S ribosomal RNA". It matches the Rfam family "Bacterial small subunit ribosomal RNA", at positions 524 to 776 of the family's 1533-position model. The record is from RNAcentral.
UACGUAGGGUGCAAGCGUUGUCCGGAUUUAUUGGGCGUAAAGAGCUCGUAGGCGGUUUGGCAAGUCGGGUGUGAAAACUCCAGGCUCAACCUGGAGAUGCCACCCGAUACUGCUAUGACUUGAGUCUGGUAGGGGAGCACGGAAUUCCUGGUGUAGCGGUGAAAUGCGCAGAUAUCAGGAGGAACACCGGUGGCGAAGGCGGUGCUCUGGGCCAGUACUGACGCUGAGGAGCGAAAGCGUGGGGAGCAAACAGG